This 251-nucleotide ribosomal RNA is filed under the name uncultured bacterium. RNAcentral describes it as "partial 16S ribosomal RNA". It matches the Rfam family "Bacterial small subunit ribosomal RNA", at positions 525 to 775 of the family's 1533-position model. The record is from RNAcentral.
ACGUAGGGGGCGAGCGUUAUCCGGAUUCAUUGGGCGUAAAGCGCGCGUAGGCGGCCCGGCAGGCCGGGGGUCGAAGCGGGGGGCUCAACCCCCCGAAGCCCCCGGAACCUCCGCGGCUUGGGUCCGGUAGGGGAGGGUGGAACACCCGGUGUAGCGGUGGAAUGCGCAGAUAUCCGGUGGAACACCGGUGGCGAAGGCGGCCCUCUGGCCCGAGACCGACGCUGAGGCGCGAAAGCUGGGGGAGCGAACAG